Molecule: transfer RNA, 72 nt
Filed under: Fibrobacterota bacterium
Lineage: Bacteria; Pseudomonadati; Fibrobacterota
Description: Fibrobacteres bacterium tRNA-Arg
Rfam family: tRNA
About the family: Transfer RNA (tRNA) molecules are approximately 80 nucleotides in length. Their secondary structure includes four short double-helical elements and three loops (D, anti-codon, and T loops).
Source: RNAcentral
UCCGGGGAAGUUCAGCGGAUGAACGUUCGGCUACGGACCGAAAAGGCGCUGGUUCGAAUCCAGCCCCCGGAC